GGGGAUUUGGCUCAGUGGUAGAGUGCUUGCCUAGGAAGCGCAAGGUCCUGGGUUCGAUCCCCAGUCCCG
RNAcentral lists this transfer RNA (69 nucleotides) under Rattus norvegicus (Norway rat). It matches the Rfam family "tRNA". Rfam says of the family: Transfer RNA (tRNA) molecules are approximately 80 nucleotides in length. Their secondary structure includes four short double-helical elements and three loops (D, anti-codon, and T loops). Further hydrogen bonds mediate the characteristic L-shaped molecular structure. tRNAs have two regions of fundamental functional importance: the anti-codon, which is responsible for specific mRNA codon recognition, and the 3' end, to which the tRNAs corresponding amino acid is attached (by aminoacyl-tRNA synthetases). tRNAs cope with the degeneracy of the genetic code in two manners: having more than one tRNA (with a specific anti-codon) for a particular amino acid; and 'wobble' base-pairing, i.e. permitting non-standard base-pairing at the 3rd anti-codon position. Lineage: Eukaryota; Metazoa; Chordata; Mammalia; Rodentia; Muridae. The record is from Rfam by way of RNAcentral.